RNAcentral lists this transfer RNA (68 nucleotides) under Thaumalea sp. ZK-2019. RNAcentral describes it as "tRNA-Asn". The record is from RNAcentral. Lineage: Eukaryota; Metazoa; Arthropoda; Insecta; Diptera; Thaumaleidae.
UUAAUUGAAACCAAAUAAGAGGUAUAUUACUGUUAAUGAUAUCAUUGAAUUAAAAAAUUCCAAUUAAA